Non-coding RNA from Metarhizium robertsii ARSEF 23, 103 nucleotides. The record is from Rfam. NCBI's taxonomy places the organism in Eukaryota, Fungi, Ascomycota, Sordariomycetes, Hypocreales, Clavicipitaceae.
GGCCGUGUAGCUCAAUGGCAGAGCGUCUGACUACGAUUAAGUAUUCUUAUAGUAUCAUUAUCCCGUAAUCAGAAGGUCGCAGGUUCGACCCCUGUCUCGGUCA